GACGAACGCUGGCGGCGUGCUUGACACAUGCAAGUCGAACGGAAAGGCCCUGCUUUUGUGGGGUGCUCGAGUGGCGAACGGGUGAGUAACACGUGAGUAACCUGCCCUUUACUUUGGGAUAACUUCAGGAAACUGGGGCUAAUACCGGAUAGGAUCUCCUGCUGCAUGGUGGGGGUUGGAAAGUUUCGGCGGUUGGGGAUGGACUCGCGGCUUAUCAGCUUGUUGGUGGGGUAGUGGCUUACCAAGGCUUUGACGGGUAGCCGGCAUGAGAGGGUGACCGGCGACAAUGGGACUGAGAUACGGCCCAGACUACUACGGGAGGCAGCAGUGGGGAAUAUUGCACAAUGGGCGGAAGCCUGAUGCAGCAACGCCGCGUGCGGGAUGACGGCCUUCGGGUUGUAAACCGCUUUAGACUGUGACGAAGAGUGAGUGACGGUAAUGGGUAAAGAAGCACCGGCUAACUACGUG
This 468-nucleotide ribosomal RNA is filed under the name uncultured bacterium. Its description in RNAcentral is "partial 16S ribosomal RNA". It matches the Rfam family "Bacterial small subunit ribosomal RNA", at positions 28 to 507 of the family's 1533-position model. The record is from RNAcentral.